AUACGUAGGGAGCAAACGUUGUCCGGAUUUAUUGGGCGUAAAGGGCUCGUAGGCGGUUCAACAAGUCGGUCGUGAAAGCCCGGGGCUCAACCCCGGGACGCCGGUCGAAACUGUUGUGACUAGAGUUCGGUAGAGGUGAGUGGAAUUCUCGGUGUAGCGGUGGAAUGCGCAGAUAUCGAGAGGAACACCAUUAGCGAUGGCGGCUCACUGGGCCGAUACUGACGCUGAGGAGCGAAAGCGUGGGGAGCAAACAGGAUUAGAAACCCCAGUAGUCC
This 275-nucleotide ribosomal RNA is filed under the name uncultured bacterium. Its description in RNAcentral is "partial 16S ribosomal RNA". It matches the Rfam family "Bacterial small subunit ribosomal RNA", at positions 523 to 796 of the family's 1533-position model. The record is from RNAcentral.